GGUUGAGUUUCUCGCCUCUCUGUUCUGCCUGUAUUCUACCCUUGUUUGUCAUAUACUAUUAUUUCCUCGGCAGGCUUGCUUGCCGAGUGAAACCAAUUAUAACCUAUUUAAUUUUCAAUCAGCGUCUGAACAAAAUUAAUAAUUACAACUUUCAACAACGGAUCUCUUGGUUCUGGCAUCGAUGAAGAACGCAGCGAAAUGCGAUAAGUAGUGUGAAUUGCAGAAUUCAGUGAAUCAUCGAAUCUUUGAACGCACAUUGCGCCCCUUGGUAUUCCAUGGGGCAUGCCUGUUCGAGCGUCAUUUGUACCUUCAAGCUUUGCUUGGUGUUGGGUGUUUGUCCUGAGGGACUCGCCUUAA
This 357-nucleotide unclassified non-coding RNA is filed under the name Paraphoma sp. OTU_015. Its description in RNAcentral is "sequence contains ITS1, 5.8S rRNA gene and ITS2". The stretch from base 147 to 300 matches the Rfam family "5.8S ribosomal RNA". Lineage: Eukaryota; Fungi; Ascomycota; Dothideomycetes; Pleosporales; Phaeosphaeriaceae. The record is from RNAcentral.